UGCACAUGUCUAUUUUUAUUUGAAUCUUCAGAAUGUCCAAACUUUUAAACACUAUGGUAUGACUGAACAAUCUAAACUGUUUGACAUUGUUUGAUGUAAAUAAAAUACUCCGGUCAUUCUUAGUAUGCAAUCUGCAGUAGUGCUUCGAAAAAACACUAGGGGAAAUGACUUGAAUGGAGAAAUGUUGAGAGACCAACCUGCUACCUGAAAAGUGCAGCAUGCCCACAUGAGAGUCACUAAUACUCUCACACAUCUUUUUUCAAUAGCCCUUCUUUAAAACAAUCUGGUGGGAAAAAACGUUCAAGGUCACAAGUCACAAUCUGGUGGAGUAUGACUCAACAUACUCUAUAAUUUACUGAAUGAAUGGAGGUAAAAGUAUGGAGUAUUUACUGAAUGAAUAAUCAAGUAAACAAUGCAUGGAGGUAAAAGGAUAAAAGAAGCUAAAUUCACGGGGAAGAAUAGAGCAAAAUAAUUUAGACAGAAUAAAUUCUGAAAGAACCUCUGCCAUCUGUUGAUAUGUUGAUUUACUUUAAAUAAAAAUCAUAGACUGAAAAUGUUGUCAUCUGGAUUACACAUGUUCUUUUUCUCAUUAAAGGGUCAUGAGACAGCUAUUGAAAACAGACUGGAGUAAAUUGUUUUUCUAAGAACACAAACACAACAAAAACAGGUUCAUGACUGGAGUAGUACUGUAAUAAGACCCGACAAAACAUCUUUUGGAGAACAUGGAUCUACUGAAAAUGUUGUACUGCUCCAAUUGAUCAUUUUCAUUUCCAAAAUGUACUGGUGUGCAUCUUGAAAGUUCAACCUCUUACCUUGAAAGUUCUUUUCAGUUGCCUGGAGAACAUGGAUCUCCCAGACCUCAAGUACACCCCACCUGCAGAAGAUGAAGAUGAAAUGGACGAAGAUGUAAGAGAUGAAAUGGACGAAGAUGUAGGAGAUGAAAUGGACGAAGAUGAAAUGGACGAAGAUGUAGGAGAUGCAAUUGUUCAACAUGCAGGUAAAUGAAUCAAAUGAUCAUGAGUAGAGAGUAAAUGACUCAAAUGACUUGUGUAAAUGCAUUGUUGUACUCCAUUUGAUCAUAUAUUUUCUUUGUGCAGGUGUUGAGCAAGCAAUUCAGAAAAGGGAUAUCCUAGAUGACAAGCAAAGAUAUGUUGCUUAUGUUGCAAUGCAUACAUUGUGCAUGAGUAGAGGGGGAAAGUUUAAGAGAGAUGACAAGAAAAAUAUUGCUGAUUUCUUUGGAGUGGGUGUUUGGAAUAUACAAAGAAUUUGGAAGAAAGCGAUGGAGCAAAUUGCUGAAGGUCUGGAUGUAGAUGUUUCAAGUCAGGGGAAAGAAAAUUGUGGAAGAAAGCCGAAAGACAUCAAUCUAGAGCAAAUCCCUACCAUCCCACUAAACAGGAGGUCUACUAUCAGGUCAUUUGCCUGGCAACUCGGGUGCAGCCCUACGACACUCCACCGGAAGUUCAUGCUGAAGUUGAUAAAGAGGCGUACAAACUGUUUGAAGCCAGCUCUGAAUGAAAAGAACAAGAAGGAUAGAGUGAAAUUUUGCUUGUAAAUGCUCGAUGAGACAACAACACAAACUGAAAGGCCAAAAUUCAAGACCAUGCACAACAUUAUUCAUAUUGAUGAGAAAUGAUUCUAUAUGACCAAGAAAAAAAGGAACUAUUAUCUGCUGUAUGGGGAGGAAGAGCCUACGAGAACUCUGCAAAACGGCAGUUAUAUUGGAAAGGUUAUGUUCUUGACAGCUGUUGCUAGGCCGAGGUGGGAUAAUGAAGGAAAUGUGACCUUCUCUGGAAAAAUUGGAAUUUGGCCGUUUGUGAAAGAAGUUCCGGCUCAGAGGAGAAGCGACAACAGGCCCAGAGGAACAUUGGAGACAAAGUCCAUAAAAGUCAACAGGCAAGUAAUGAGAGAGUUCAUGAUAGAGAACCUACUUCCAGCAAUACAAGCAUCUUGGCCUGAGAAUGAUGUUGGGCAAACCAUCUAUAUACAGCAAGACAACGCUAAGCCUCAUAUCUUGCCUAACGACCUAGAAUUUGUAGCAGCUGUGGAAAGAACUGGAGUCGAUAUCAGACUAAUUCAACAACCUGCCAAUAGCCCAGAUCUGAAUGGCCUUGACCUUGGGUUCUUCAACUCGUUGCAAUCUCUAACAGAUUGUCUAAGCCCUAGAACGCUUCAGGAUCUUAUCAAGGGUGUGCUAGAUGAAUUUGAAAACUAUGAGGUUUACAAGUUGAACAGAGCUUUCCUAUCUCUACAAGCUUGCAUGAUUGAAAUCUUGAACCAUGCGGGGGCCAAUGGGUAUAAAAUACCCCAUGCGAACAAGGAAAGGCUAGAGAACCUUGGGAUGCUACCUCCAAGACUUACAUGCCCUCGAGAGGUAUAUGCAAAUGCCCUGCACAAUCUUGGGAUAAUGGAGAGAGUUGCUUGUUGAGAUGCUUGUCGAGAUGCUUGAGGAGUUGCUAGUUGAGAUGCUAGUUGAGAUGCUUGAGGAGUUGCCUGUGGAGAUGCUAGUUAAGAUGCUUGAGGAGUUGCUUGUUGAGAUGCUUGAGGAUUUGCUUGUUGAGAUGCUAGUUGAGAUGCUUGAGGAGUUGCUUGUCGAGAUGCUUGAGGAGUUGCCUGUUGAGAUGCUUGUUCAGAUGCUUGAGGAGUUNNNNNNNNNNNNNNNNNNNNNNNNNNNNNNNNNNNNNNNNNNNNNNNNNNNNNNNNNNNNNNNNNNNNNNNNNNNNNNNNNNNNNNNNNNNNNNNNNNNAUAUGCUAGUUAAGAUGCUUGAGGAGUUGCUUGUUGAGAUGCUUGAGGAUUUGCUUGUUGAGAUGCUUGAGGAGUUGCUUGACGAGAUGCUUGUCGAGAUGCUUGAGGAGUUGCCUGUUGAGAUGCUUGUUCAGAUGCUUGAGGAGUUGGUUGUCGAGAUGCUUGUCGAGAUGCUUGAGGAGUUGCUUGUUGAGAUGCUUGAGGAGUUGCUUGUUGAGAUGCUUGAGUUGCUUGUGAUUAUUUGUGUGGAGUAUGUGUAACUACUUGUUUGUGUGGAGUAUAUGUAAACCCUAGAGAUGAGGCUUGUGUGGAGUAUAUGCAACUCCUUGAGAAGAGACUUGUGUGGAGUGCAUCAUUUGUAUGAUCAUUUUCGGAAAACCCCAUGUGAAAUUACUCCAUAUGUUUGCAAAAGGCUUCUAUGGACUGGAUUUUACUCCAUAUAUAUGAUCAUUUUUGUUUGAAAAGUUUCAUUUAAUUUUGUGUGGAGUGCAUCAUUUGUGUGAUCAUUUUUGUUUAAUUAAGAGAUAAGAGGAGAGGGCAUUGGAAGAGAGAGAGAGGGAGAGAGAGAGAGAGAGGAAACUGGAAGAUACUCCUAAUGCAAGCACUCCAUUUACAGUACUCCUAAUGCUUGUACUGCAGUAAAACUACUCCUAAUGCUAUAACAGUUAACAACAACUGAAAUUACUGUAAUGUCCAACCAGAGGUCAGAAAAUAUGCUUCAAAUUUUGACAAAACUUCAGUUAAUUUUGACUCCAGAUUUACAACUUCAUUUCAGACAAAACUUCACUGAAUCACUAAAUAUUUUCAGAUACAAAAGCUGCACAUUCAUGACUAAGACAAUUCCUAACAAAACUACUCCUCUCUUGAGAAGUUGGAGUAACAGAAGUUGCACUUGCAUAAGUACAGAAGGUACACACACUAAAUUCUCAAUUUUCUGAAGAAGCACAUGCAGACCCAAGACAAUUUUUCUAAAGUUUAAUAAAACUACAGAAGCUGCACCACGACUAAGCUACAGAAUUUCCCUCGCCAAAGCAAUGAACAUUCAUGACUAGCAAGGGAACUGCAAGAUUAACAAGCUACUCUGAAGCUGAAGCUACAGAAGUUCAACAAGCUACAGAAGUUGGAGUAAUAGAAGCUUCAUGAGAAGAUUCAUAGUGAUGAAUUCAUGAGAAACUUCUUUGUUAAUCUACAGAAGCUAAAGAAGAUUCAUAAGCUAGUGAAGCUACAGAAGCUUCAUGUGUAACAGAGGCUACAGAAGCUUCAUGAGUAACAGAAGGCUACACAAACUUCAUGAGAAGUUGGAGAAUACCAUGAGGACGACAAGGUAGGUAUUGCAGCAGCAGGCUUCUCCCUCCAUGGCCCUCCUCUCCUCUUGAAUCGAUAUGGGCAGGAGCUUUUCUCUUCAUGGCCUGGCCUCCUUC
RNAcentral lists this long non-coding RNA (4164 nucleotides) under Triticum aestivum (bread wheat). Its description in RNAcentral is "long non-coding RNA (TAES_LNC018869)". The record is from RNAcentral. Lineage: Eukaryota; Viridiplantae; Streptophyta; Magnoliopsida; Poales; Poaceae.